CGAGUUGAUUGGGCAGUUGCGCACCGUGUAUUUUCUAUGCGGUGUGAGGAAAGUCCGAGCAGCGCAGAGCAGGAUAACGGCUAACGGCCGCCGAGGGUGACCUUAGGGAAAGUGCAACAGAAAUAAACCGCCGCUUAUGCGGUAAGGAUGGAAAGGCGAGGUAAGAGCUCACCGAGCGGGUGGAGACAUCCGCUGCCAUGUAAACCCUAUCCGCUGCAACACAGAAGGGGAGGAUGCCGGCUCGGCACAUAAUCCCGAAAUGUGGCUGGAGCGCAUCAGCAAUGAUGCGUCGAGAUAGAUAAUUGCCUACAACAGAACUCGGCUUACAGAUCAACUCGCAUU
Non-coding RNA from Anaerotruncus sp. CAG:528, 342 nucleotides. It matches the Rfam family "Bacterial RNase P class A". From Rfam's summary of the family: Ribonuclease P (RNase P) is a ubiquitous endoribonuclease, found in archaea, bacteria and eukarya as well as chloroplasts and mitochondria. Its best characterised activity is the generation of mature 5'-ends of tRNAs by cleaving the 5'-leader elements of precursor-tRNAs. Cellular RNase Ps are ribonucleoproteins. NCBI's taxonomy places the organism in Bacteria, Bacillati, Bacillota, Clostridia, Eubacteriales, Oscillospiraceae. The record is from Rfam.